GGUGUUAUGGCAGAGAGGUUAUUGCGAAGUACUGUUAAUACUUUUUUUCAUAGGUUCGAGUCCUAUUAACACCU
Molecule: transfer RNA, 74 nt
Filed under: Lactarius trivialis
Lineage: Eukaryota; Fungi; Basidiomycota; Agaricomycetes; Russulales; Russulaceae
Description: tRNA-Asn
Rfam family: tRNA
About the family: Transfer RNA (tRNA) molecules are approximately 80 nucleotides in length. Their secondary structure includes four short double-helical elements and three loops (D, anti-codon, and T loops).
Source: RNAcentral